AUUUUCGUGGAUUAGGGAAAACUUGCAUUUUCGUGGAUAUCUAAUGUCAUUGUUAAUGCUAAGUCUGCAAACAUUCCUUUAGAAAAAUUUGUAAUUCGUUGAACAUUUUAAUUCGUGGUUCCCAUGUGAAAACGAAAUCCACGAAAAUUGGUUUCCAACGAAUAUUAAUGAAUUCACAAUAACAGAUGUUUAUGAUAUGAGAGAGAAGUCUUUUAUUGACGUUACCAUUUGGAUAUCAGCUAUGAGUAAUCAAUAAUAAAAAAACCUAGACAAAACAAUAGUACAAACGAAUAAACGUAUCCUACUUUGUAGGCUUACAGAGGGAUGCAUAUAGUUCGUUCUACCUCAUAUUCACGAGUUUUUAAUUUUAUUUACUAAUAAUGUUUCAAUCGAUAAAUAUUCAAGGUUUAUGUUAAUACAAGUUUGUAAUACAUUUAGAAAAGAGGGGCGAAAGAUACCAGAGGGACAUUAAAACUCAAAAAUCGAAAAUAAACUGACAACGCCAUGGCUAAAAAAGAAAAAUAACAAACACACAAAUAAUAGUACACAAAACACAACACAGAAAACUAAAGACUAAGCAACACGAACUCAACCAAAUACUAGGGGUGAUCUUAGGUGAUCCGGAAGGGUAAGCAGAUUCUGCUCCACAAAUGGCACCCGUCGUGUUGCUCAUGUUAGUACAAACCCGAUAGCUAGUUUAAUUCGAUAGGUCAUAGAAAUAUCGUGUUUGCCCCUCUUUCCAUACAGAUUUGAACUACAUACAUUCACACAACGUUAUUUCAUUCACUGAAACGACAUAAGUGACAUGUCACAUUGUAUAUUAUGAUAAAGAUGUUUUCUAAAUACUUUAUGACAUGUUUACAUCAUGUCUAUAUUAUACGACGUGUUAUUGGUUUUUAAUGUUUAGUUUGACUAAUUUGAUAAUGUCAUAUUUGAAAUAAAACUUGAACUCACUUUUGCUUUUUUCGAAUAAUAUUUUCAUGAAAACAAAAUAUCCCUUCCAUGAACAAAUGAUUUUCAAAUAAAUGACCAUUAUCUCAUGAAUUAAUUGAUAUUUGAUUAAACAUGUCUCUAAAUUUGCACAUGUUAGUAUGUUGAGUUUAAUCAUACAUAUGUUUUAUAUAUCUAAUUUUAACGAAUUGAUUCAUGUUUUCCUUUUUCAUUUAAAGAAAUGUUUAAAACGUCUAUAUAUGAGGUAUUUACAAACAUAACCUUAAUUAAUUCCACUGACAUCCAAAGGUGAGUAAUAUUUUAUGUUUUUUUUAGUUCAAAACUUAUUAUAGAAACGUCUAAAAAAAUGUUUUAAAGUACAUCAGCACAAGCAAAUGAUUAUAAUUUUGAAUAAAGAAAUAUUUUUUCAUGUCACAAUACACACAUUUAAACUAAAAACACUAUUACCCUAUGAUUGUUUUUCGCGCAUAUGCGUUGAUAUUGGCAAGUUUGGAUCAACUGCAUAACAGUUUGUUAUCCGCAGACUAGACUUUACAAAGUACACCACAUUACACAAACACUAGUCUACAAAAAACAAAAUACAUAAUAGAAGUAACAAAAAAAAAAAAAAAAAAAAAAAAAAAAAACAGAGGAUAUAGGGUAUUUAACGAUGACAAAAAAUCAGUACAUAUAAGUUUUUGUGAUAUUAUAUGGAUAUACAAAAGUGUUUACAUGAACCUACUGUUUUACCUGUAUUUUUAACAUAGACAUUUAUUUUUCAGUCGAAGAUUUUGCUUAACACAUCUGACUUACAGUUGAGAAAGAUUAUGCAAUAUCUUGACUAACCAUUCUUGUUCCUGUUGUAUAUAUCCUACAUUAUAUGUCGGCAGUGAAAAUAAUUGGUCGUUAUUACUCUUCCUGAACUUAAAAAUGAAAAAUGGUACGAUAGAAGGACGUUGGAGUUUGUAAUGGAACACACUGCAUGUCGGUUAGACCGCGACGGAGCCCAACUAUGGAGUGAUAUCGUACAGUAAUUCUAACUUUCAUCAAAAGAAUGAUUACGACGACUUUCAUUAAUUUUACUGAAACAUUUAAAGGAAUAAAAAAAGAUAAUGAGCAUGCAAGAAUUAGGACCACAGAACAUCUCCAAUACACACUAGUGACUCACAGUCGGACAAUCGAGUGAAUGUUACAAGGAAUAUGAUGUUAAUUAUAAAUAUAUAAAACAUGGGACAUUCGAAUCGGUAAAUUGUGAUUACAUAUUAAAGCAUUAUCCAUACUGCCGACGUAUUCGGGACAAUGGUAUCAAUAGACCAAAGCGAAAUAUAUGUCAACUUGUGUUGAAAAUAGUUCUAAAAUAAACUCGAACUGAUUUAACUGGCAAAUAUGUAUGAUAAUCAAAAGCAAAAAAACGUCUACCGUAUUCAAUUAAAAAAGGCGAUUUGGUAGUUGAAGCAAGAUGUGAACUAAAGUACAUAUGCAUACACCAAUCAAGAUGCAUAAAUGACAGACGUAUAAAUGAGUGGUUAAGUUAGAUUCUUAAGAGCUUUCAUUGAGGGAUUUAUAAAAUGUUGGUGUUUGAGUGAAUGUAUUCUGAGAUGCAUUAUACACAUAACAUUAUUUACACGGGUAAAAGCGGGAAGUUUAAAUUGAGAAUAGCUAAUGCCCAUGCUCCUUACAGUGGACAAUACGUCAGAAUGUGCAUGCAUUUAACAAAAUGUGUAUGAUGCCGUGAUGCAAUUAUAUUACACCAUCCAAAAUAUAUUGCAGCUUAUAUAAUAUAUUUUGUUGCAUCAUUUAUUGACAGGGGAUUCAUAAACGCAAUACUUUGAAUUCGGUAAAUAAGUUCGCAAAACAGUCAAUGCAUACUGUUUUUUUUUUGGCUUACAUGUUCGAUUUUCAAUAAAUUAUUAAAGUUCACAAAAAGUCAUGUGUUAAAACAAUCACAAAACGUUGAAAGCUAUUACGUAAACAUAUAAGCAUUUAAUGCAAAAUAUAUUGAUUGUCUUUUAGGCAUAAUAAAUAAACAAAUAUCAAUCAUGAA
Mytilus californianus (California mussel) is the source of this 2974-nucleotide long non-coding RNA. RefSeq lists it as uncharacterized. NCBI's taxonomy places the organism in Eukaryota, Metazoa, Mollusca, Bivalvia, Mytilida, Mytilidae. The transcript is spliced from 2 exons. The record is from RefSeq and is a predicted model, not a curated record.